RNAcentral lists this ribosomal RNA (301 nucleotides) under uncultured bacterium. RNAcentral describes it as "partial 16S ribosomal RNA". It matches the Rfam family "Bacterial small subunit ribosomal RNA", at positions 509 to 808 of the family's 1533-position model. The record is from RNAcentral.
CAGUAGCCGCGGGAAUACAGAGGGUGCAAGCGUUAAUCGGAAUUACUGGGCGUAAAGCGCGCGUAGGUGGUUUGUUAAGUUGGAUGUGAAAGCCCCGGGCUCAACCUGGGAACUGCAUCCAAAACUGGCAAGCUAGAGUACGGUAGAGGGUGGUGGAAUUUCCUGUGUAGCGGUGAAAUGCGUAGAUAUAGGAAGGAACACCAGUGGCGAAGGCGACCACCUGGACUGAUACUGACACUGAGGUGCGAAAGCGUGGGGAGCAAACAGGAUUAGAGACCCCAGUGUCCCUGUCUCUUAUACC